GACGAACGCUGGCGGCGUGCUUAACACAUGCAAGUCGAACGGAAAGGCCCUGCUUUUGUGGGGUGCUCGAGUGGCGAACGGGUGAGUAACACGUGAGUAACCUGCCCUUGACUUUGGGAUAACUUCAGGAAACUGGGGCCAAUACCGGAUAGGAGCUCCUGCUGCAUGGUGGGGGUUGGAAAGUUUCGGUGGUUGGGGAUGGACUCGCGGCUUAUCAGCUUGUUGGUGGGGUAGUGGCUUACCAAGGCUUUGACGGGUAGCCGGCCUGAGAGGGUGACCGGCCACAUUGGGACUGAGAUACGGCCCAGACUCCUACGGGAGGCAGCAGUGGGGAAUAUUGCACAAUGGGCGGAAGCCUGAUGCAGCAACGCCGCGUGCGGGAUGACGGCCUUCGGGUUGUAAACCGCUUUCGCCUGUGACGAAGCGUGAGUGACGGUAAUGGGUAAAGAAGCACCGGCUAACUACGUG
Molecule: ribosomal RNA, 468 nt
Filed under: uncultured bacterium
Lineage: Bacteria
Description: partial 16S ribosomal RNA
Rfam family: Bacterial small subunit ribosomal RNA
Source: RNAcentral